RNAcentral lists this ribosomal RNA (397 nucleotides) under uncultured bacterium. Its description in RNAcentral is "partial 16S ribosomal RNA". It matches the Rfam family "Bacterial small subunit ribosomal RNA", at positions 360 to 774 of the family's 1533-position model. The record is from RNAcentral.
AAUAUUGCGCAAUGAGGGGAACCUUGACGCAGCAACGCCGCGUGAGCGACGAAGGCCUUCGGGUCGUAAAGCUCUGUCUUAAGGGAUGAUAAUGACAGUACCUUAAGAGGAAGCCCCGGCUAACUACGUGCCAGCAGCCGCGGUAAUACGUAGGGGGCGAGCGUUGUCCGGAUUUACUGGGUGUAAAGGGCGCGCAGGCGGUUUAGUAAGUCAGCUGUGAAAGUCCAGGGCUUAACCCUGGAAUUGCAGUUGAAACUACCAAACUUGAGAUAAGGAGAGGAGAGCGGAAUUCCUAGUGUAGCGGUGAAAUGCGUAGAUAUUAGGAAGAACACCAGUGGCGAAGGCGGCUCUCUGGCCUUGAACUGACGCUGAGGCGCGAAAGCGUGGGUAGCGAACA